This 75-nucleotide transfer RNA is filed under the name Candidatus Babelota bacterium. RNAcentral's name for it is "Candidatus Dependentiae bacterium tRNA-Phe". It matches the Rfam family "tRNA". Rfam says of the family: Transfer RNA (tRNA) molecules are approximately 80 nucleotides in length. Their secondary structure includes four short double-helical elements and three loops (D, anti-codon, and T loops). The record is from RNAcentral. RNAcentral also lists the same sequence under 2 other names.
GCCGGGGUAGCUCAGUGGUAGAGCGUAAGCCUGAAGAGCUUUGCGUCGUUGGUUCGAUUCCGACCCCCGGCACCA